Molecule: ribosomal RNA, 751 nt
Filed under: Pseudoalteromonas sp.
Lineage: Bacteria; Pseudomonadati; Pseudomonadota; Gammaproteobacteria; Alteromonadales; Pseudoalteromonadaceae
Description: bacterial SSU rRNA
Rfam family: Bacterial small subunit ribosomal RNA
Source: RNAcentral
GAGCAUGCGGCAGCUACCAUGCAGUCGAGCGGAAACAAAAGUACUUGCUACUCUGGCGUCGAGCGGCGGACGGGUGAGUAAUGCUUGGGAACAUGCCUUGAGGUGGGGGACAACAGUUGGAAACGACUGCUAAUACCGCAUAAUGUCUACGGACCAAGGGGGGCUUCGGCUCUCGCCUUUAGAUUGGCCCAAGUGGGAUUAGCUAGUUGGUGAGGUAAUGGCUCACCAGGGCGACGAUCCCUAUCUGGUUUGAGAGGAUGAUCACCCACACUGGGACUGAGACACGGCCCACACUCCUACGGGAGGCAGCAGUGGGGAAUAUUGCACAAUGGGCGCAAGCCUGAUGCACCCAUGCCGCGUGUGUGAAGAAGGCCUUCGGGUUGUAAAGCACUUUCAGUCAAGAGGAAAGGUUAGUAGUUAAUACCUGCUAUCUGUGACGUUACUGACAGAAGAAGCACCGGCUAACUCCGUGCCAGCAGCCGCGGUAAUACGGAGGGUGCGAGCGUUAAUCGGAAUUACUGGGCGUAAAGCGUACGCAGGCGGUUUGUUAAGCGAGAUGUGAAAGCCCCGGGCUCAACCUGGGAACUGCAUUUCAAACUGGCAAACUAGAGUGUGAUAGAGGGUGGUAGAAUUUCAGGUGUAGCGGUGAAAUGCGUAGAGAUCUGAAAGAAUACCGAUGGCGAAGGCAGCCACCUGGGUCAACACUGACGCUCAUGUACGAAAGCGUGGGGAGCAAACAAGAUUAUACCCC